AUACGAAGGGGGCUAGCGUUGUUCGGAAUUACUGGGCGUAAAGGGCGCGUAGGCGGCCGUUUAAGUUAGGUGUGAAAGUCCUGGGCUCAACCUGGGGACUGCACUUAAUACUGGAUGGCUUGAAUUCGGGAGAGGAUAGCGGAAUUCCCAGUGUAGAGGUGAAAUUCGUAGAUAUUGGGAAGAACACCGGUGGCGAAGGCGGCUAUCUGGACCGACAUUGACGCUGAGGCGCGAAAGCGUGGGGAGC
Molecule: ribosomal RNA, 247 nt
Filed under: uncultured bacterium
Lineage: Bacteria
Description: partial 16S ribosomal RNA
Rfam family: Bacterial small subunit ribosomal RNA
Source: RNAcentral